Molecule: ribosomal RNA, 633 nt
Filed under: Triticum aestivum (bread wheat)
Lineage: Eukaryota; Viridiplantae; Streptophyta; Magnoliopsida; Poales; Poaceae
Description: partial small subunit ribosomal RNA
Source: RNAcentral
AUGGCGAGGCUAUUCACCAUCAUCUCCUCCUUCGCCGUCCUCCUCCUCCUCAGUGAUGUGGGGAUGGCGGUGGAGACCGCCCCCAUAGCGCUCGGUGAUCUGGGGACGGCGGUGGAGACCGCCCCCAAAGCGGCGGUCGGCGACGCCAACGUCAAAAGGUUUUGCGCCGAAACGCCCUACCCGGACGUCUGCGCCGACAUGAUCGCGCGCUACGACGACGAGUGCAAAGGCGCCGACGACAAGAAGCUGGCGGGGAUGGCGGCGCUCACCACCGCCACCCUCCUUCUUAAAGCGUCCGCGGACGCGAGCCCGGGCGUUCAGAAGCAGCGCUACCCAGACCUGACCAAGGCCGACGAGGAAUGCUUUGAAACCUGCUACAAGGAGCUGACCAAUGGCGGCGAAAAACUCGACAAUUUGUGCACCAGCAAAGAGGGCUCGGACGACAUCGGCAUGGCCCAGCUCCCCGAAAUCCGCAGCUUCAUCAAGGAGAACAACGGGGCGCAUGCCCAGUGGAAUUGCGAUAGGUGUCGCCCUGCAAAUGACAAGAAGACACCCGACGAUGUCUCCAAGAAGAACGAUGCCGAGAAGGCCAUGGCUGUCCUGGAUGUGCUCGUUAACAAAGUGACCAAAUAA